This 810-nucleotide ribosomal RNA is filed under the name uncultured bacterium. RNAcentral describes it as "bacterial SSU rRNA". It matches the Rfam family "Bacterial small subunit ribosomal RNA", at positions 60 to 878 of the family's 1533-position model. The record is from RNAcentral.
AGUCGAGCGGAGACAGUGAGUAGCUUGCUAUGAGCUGUUUUAGCGGCGGACGGGUGAGUAACGCGUGAGCAACCUUUCCCAGACAGGGGAAUAACACACCGAAAGGUGUACUAAUACCGCAUAAGACCACGGUUUCACAUGGAACUGAGGUAAAAGAUUUAUCGGUUUGGGGUGGGCUCGCGUCCGAUUAGGUAGUUGGUGAGGUAACGGCCCACCAAGCCGACGAUCGGUAGCCGACCUGAGAGGGUGAUCGGCCACAUUGGGACUGAGACACGGCCCAAACUCCUACGGGAGGCAGCAGUGGGGAAUAUUGGGCAAUGGGGGGAACCCUGACCCAGCAACGCCGCGUGGAGGAAGAAGGUUUUCGGAUCGUAAACUCCUGCCCUUGGAGACGAGUAGAAGACGGUAUCCAAGGAGGAAGCCCCGGCUAACUACGUGCCAGCAGCCGCGGUAAUACGUAGGGGGCAAGCGUUGUCCGGAAUAAUUGGGCGUAAAGGGCGCGUAGGCGGCUCGGUAAGUCUGGAGUGAAAGUCCUGCUUUUAAGGUGGGAAUUGCUUUGGAUACUGUCGGGCUUGAGUGCAGGAGAGGUUAGUGGAAUUCCCAGUGUAGCGGUGAAAUGCGUAGAGAUUGGGAGGAACACCAGUGGCGAAGGCGACUAACUGGACUGUAACUGACGCUGAGACGCGAAAGUGUGGGGAGCAAACAGGAUUAGAUACCCUGGUAGUCCACACUGUAAACGAUGAAUGCUAGGUGUAGGGGGUAUCGACCCCUUCUGUGCCGCAGUCAACACAAUAAGCAUUCCGCCUGGGG